UAUGUUAUGAAACUCUUACAUUCUAACUAAUACAUUUUUUUCUUUUAAGUGUAAAAACCAUCAUGUACAACUCAACAAUUUAUUGAAACAUAAACUCUGCCUGAAUAAAGAAAUAGGACAUCACCAGCACUCCCAAGACUAUCCUCUCCCUCACCUAAAGAUCCUCCAUGAUGAAAGAGGGAAAGGAGAAGGACCCAGCUCAGGCGUGCCUUCACAGGGUGAGUUGCAAUUCUCGAGUUUC
Long non-coding RNA from Pan paniscus (pygmy chimpanzee), 241 nucleotides. NCBI's taxonomy places the organism in Eukaryota, Metazoa, Chordata, Mammalia, Primates, Hominidae. The record is from Ensembl.